Long non-coding RNA from Solea solea (common sole), 1685 nucleotides. RefSeq lists it as uncharacterized. The transcript is spliced from 7 exons. NCBI's taxonomy places the organism in Eukaryota, Metazoa, Chordata, Actinopteri, Pleuronectiformes, Soleidae. The record is from RefSeq and is a predicted model, not a curated record.
CAGGGGGCGACACGCGUUACCGAGGACAGAGGGAUGAUAACUGUAGUCAGAGCAACAGAAGUAAAAACAAACAAACAAAAAAAUGAUUCUAUCAUAGUGGAUUUAUACUGGUGCUAGCUUGCUCUGCUGUCUGUCAGCUAGCAUAACCGCACCGGCGCGCGCCGGUUUGUCAGCGGUGGACGUUUCUGGACACAGACCACGUGAUGUAAGACAAAACCACAGCACUGUUGGAUCAACGUGUGUUUUCCUGUCCUGGAGAGGUUCUUCAGCCACGAGGACACAUGGGCAGAUUUCCAACUGAGUACAGAGGCCCUUGCUUUGCUUCAGGAACAUUUCCUCCAAGAACGGAGUUGCGGAUGUGGUGCCAAGAUCGAGACCCUGGCGUUUCAGUUCUGGCUGGCGAGUGUAUCAUCACUCCACUGUCCACAGAGUUACAGAAGAGCUGAAGGCCGUUCCACACAAGGUCCUUUACCUCCCGAGGACCACAGAAGAACUAGACUCUGUAACCAAGGAUUUGCAGAGCUGGCCACAAAACACCCAGCUUCUGCAAAAGCAGCUGGAACAAUCAACGGCCGCCAUGUCAGGAUCAAGCCACCAAGCAGCCCUGGUGGUCAUUGUUACAGUCAUAACGGCACAUGCCAUCCUCCACAACAUCUGUCCGGGAGCCAGGGACAUCGUAGCUCCAGAAGAUUAGCCUGAGUAGCAUGUGGCCUUGGGCAAGGUGUGGAAUCAGUCAGCGGAGCGCCCUGUUGUGACCGGCCGUCUGUGGAGGAGGUUUCACGACUAUUGUUACUUGUAAUCUUGACACGGCAGCUGUCGAAUGAGCCAGUGCUGCAAACCCGGACUGUGCAGCACAACGUGGAGACGAAGCAAAGCUGGAGACCACCCCACAUGAGAAGAUGACGAGAGAGAGACCUAAACAAGGGAUGGUGACGAAGAUGAAAGAAGAAGAAGAACGGACGCUUCUCGGUGUGUCCAGGACCAGCAUCGUGUCCCUGAACGGACCACAUUCAAACAAUUAAGAGACUGCAGCGUGAAGUGGAGAAAAAGAAGGGAAGACGCAGAGCAAAGGGCCAUGAGCCGAACGUGAACCUGCAGCUUCAGACCUGAAGAUAAAGCCUCGGUACGUGGACCUCCUGCCUGACCAGCUCCUGAUUCCCCCAGCUCCUUGUUAGGGGCAGGCUCAGGUGGCUCACAGAGGCUGAGAUGGAUGAGGUGUCGGUCCUGUGCAGACCCAGCAGCAUCCUCAAAGAGGAGCACCAGUGGCAGACGUCCCGUCAGCCUGUCAGGUCCGGCCCCAAAGUCAGGCGAUGGCGAUACACUGUAGUGUCUUUGCUUGACAGAACACAGCGCUGCUCCCUUCGACCGAGACGGAUCAUACUGGCUGGAAAGUCACAAGGGAGCCAGAGUGAUGCAUCUUCUACAAAAUAAAAAAAACCGAAAGAAACACCUUUGACAUUGAAUUAAAGGUAAUUAUCUGCAGCAUACUUACUUAAAUAAUAAUAAUGAUAAUACAUUUCACAAAAUUCACAAAAUGCUCGCUAAAGUUAAACCCAAACAGAGAAGACAUUAAAAACAGUAACUUAUAAAUAAGUUAAACUUAGACCAUACGAUUGACAGGGAAAACACAGGCAAAACACAGACGGCAUACAGGACGGUUUCUAAAACCCUUUCAGCAAUAAAAA